CAUAUCAAAUUUUAUUUUUGUAAUUCGAAAAUACUUUUUGAAACUAUUUUUAUAAUUUUUAUUUUCAAAAUUUUAAUAUUUAUUUUUUAUUUUAUAAAAUUUUAAACCUUAAUCCCAAAUCUCCACCGCUUAACUCUAAACCCUAAGGUUUGGAUUAGUUAAUCCUAGGGGUAUAAAUGUAUAUUUACCUCUUUAAUGAAACAUUUUGGUCAUUUUUCUCCUUGUAGUCUUUUUUAGUUCUAUCCUAGGGUAUUUCUCAAAUAUUUUUUUCCAAUAAUUUUGAAAAUUUUAAUUUCCAAAACUUGUGAACUCAUUAAUACCUUGAAAAUAUAAGUUAAAUAUGGAUUUUGUUGUUUGUUGCUUGCAAGUUUGCAAAAACCUGUUGACUGACAAUUUCAUAUUUUCUAGGUGGAAAUACAGUACAAUCUCGUGAUCUAUUAUAAAUUUUUGCUUGGCGAUUUUCAAGUCGAAUUUGAUGUGUUAAUCAAAUCAUACUUGAUUAUGUUCUUCAUGUUUCUUAUCCUUUUCGAGUUGGUUUGAUUUAAUAAAGUUUCGUUUUCUCUCUUUUCUCCUCUAUGUUUCAAAUCAAAUCCCAUUUGAUACUCAAGUGAUUUGAGCUUGUUGAUAUCGAUGGCGAUAGAGAGGAGGAAGAAUGCAAGUGGUAGCGGGUUACGCCAGCACAAAAUCUUCGCUAGAAGAGUUUCGUGGAGGAGGCUGCGGAGGAGAAGCAUAGCGGUGGGCCGAAGAUCGAGAGUCCUGCAUGUUUGGCGCGUAUUUUCAGCCUCUUUAGAAGCUGCACGUGAACACAUAAAGAUAACUCUUUUGAUUGGGAUUUAAAUUUUGUUGUCUUGUUGGGUUUGAAAUGUUAAACCGAUUUUCACUUGUAUUUAUACUUAUCCAUUGGGCUUUAUCAACGAAGUUGUUGGGUUGACAAAAAAAAAAUAAGUUUUUUUUAAACUUUAAAAUAAACAAGUUGAUAAUGAAUUCUUGGAAAAUGAGAAAGUUUGGCAUUUUAGGACCGUACAAAAUUGUGCAUAGAGUGUAUGGAUCGGAUCAGGCUUGGACCAAUGUUAAGCCUAUGAAAAUGUAUUUGACUUUCGGUUUGCUAAACUGAGGGGAGAAAUUUCCAAAACAACUAAAACUAAUAAAAAUCUAUCUAUUUUAUUAAAAGAAAAGUACAAAUAAGAAAUAAUCCUAAAACUUACAAUUUAUUUACAAUGCAAUGCCACUGAAUUAAUUUUUUAACCUACCUUAAAUAUUUAUGUGUCUUUUUUCUGUUCAUUAAUGCAUUUUCCUAAAUCAAAUUUUAACCCAAAAAAUAAUACGGCAACAAUCAGUUAACAAAAUGAAAUUGACAUUGCUCUUAUACGGAUAUUACUUUCCACACUUUCAAAUGUUCAGUCUACUGUUAUGGAUGUACAUAACUUUCUUAAGUCAUUGAUAUACGUAACUUUCAAAUUGACAUAGCUUUCUUUUAAUAUAAGCCACAACAAUUUAUCUUUUUUGUUCUUCUUCACCUAUAGCUAGCUGAUGGAACUUGUAUACAGAGCAAUGGAAGAUUUAAGUUAGUUAUUUUUUUUAUCCUUUCUAAACAAACAAAAUCAAUAUAUUCAAAAUCCAAACAAAGUAGACAAAUUAAUAUAUUCAUACAUAUAUAUUAUUAAUUUUUAUAUUAGAUACAAACCAACAUAUUCAUAUGUAUAUAUAUAUAUAUAUAUAUAUUUAUUUUUGUAUUAAAUUCAAACCAACUAUACAAAUCAAUAUGUACAUUCAUGCGUAUAUAUUAAUUUAGUUAUUUUUUACCCCAAUUUUUUCGUAGCCUUUCUAAAUAAAAAAAUCAAUAUAUGAAAAUCCAAACUAUAAUAUAUUUCUUAGUCCCUCCAUACGUAUAUAUCAAUGCGGAAUCUUUAUUAUAACAUUAAGAUUUAGAAACUAAAACACACAAAAACAAUUAUAAUGUUACCUAUUACUAAAUCACAUGAUUUGUUUCCAAACUCAUUUUUUCCCUCGACAUGUAUAAAAUCAAUCCAAAAAAUCUACACCUUCUGUAUAUCGAUAAAUUAGUUCCAAAAAUAUCUAUAUUGAAUACUAUGAAUAAUUAGCAUCCACACUAUUGCCUAAAUUUGUGCUAACCAAUAUAUUUUAUACAAAAUUUACGUGAUUUUCCUUGCAAAGCUGUUGAAAUAUAUUUUCUACUCUAGUGUUUUUUUUGGUAAAAAAUGUUAAGAUUUCAUUACCAGUUUUAAGUUUUUUUACAGACUUGACAAAGAUAACUAGUAGCAGACUUGCAAAAUAAAACUAACAGAAACUCAAACCUAAGGAAACAAAUGAAAUGACUCAAGCACAUACGCAGUACACGAAGGAUACAUCGGAGAGGAACCGUCACUUGCCACAGAAUCGACCCGCAGUUAUAGCGAGAGCUGGACCCGGAAGAGUUUGGCAUACCCGGUGACCAGUUCUUUAUGAUCGGGUUGUCAAAAACAGCUCGCUAAGCCCUCCCAGUCAGCAGACUUCAUAUCCCUAUUAUAUAUAGUUUCACUUGAUUUACACCAAAUAAUAAGAUAGAGAGAGAAAGAGAGUAUUUCAAAAAAACGUUCAACUACAGACACAUUAAAAAAAUAUUUGGUUAUUAACUCGACAGAAAUACAUGUUUUGUUAUUAGGUUUUCCGGACAACAAUCGGUUUUAAAUAGGCUUUGAACUAAUGGACCACUAACAAUUUAAUAUUACGAAAAUUAUUAAAUGAAAUAUACACAAACUUAAUCCCAUUAUUAAUUUAUUAUCUGUUAAAUUAAAUUUAUAUUUUUAUUUUUAUUUUCUUACAAAUUAUAAUCUUUAUUUGUUUUAUGUUACAAAUUUGAUAGAAGUUGAACAAUCUUUUAUUUUCUCAUAAAUGUUAUAACUAAUGUAUCAGUUUAAAUAGCAUACUAGCUCAUAGUUGUCUAUUGCUGGUACUUUUAAUUCAGAAAAAAAUGUUUUCUAUAUAUCCUAGAAAAAAGUCUAAUUAUAUAAAUUUUGGCAUUUUUAUAUGAUAUCCAAUAUAGGUGAUAUAUAAUUUACUGUAAAACGCAAAAAAAAAAAAAAAAUACUCGAUGUAGUUCAAAAAAUGUUAUCUUUCGAAUGUUAUAUUAUAAAAUUAAUGUAAUACGAUUAAAUUUUACAACUACAAUAUUUAGUACAAAUAAAAAUAAAAAAUGAAAAUAAAUAUAUGCGCGGUUACGCGGAUCAAGGUCUAGUUAUUUUAUUAAUUGAGAGUAUUUUUAACUGGUCCCAAAGACUAAGUAAAUUCUAACUUCAACAU
Molecule: long non-coding RNA, 3300 nt
Organism: Brassica rapa (field mustard)
Lineage: Eukaryota; Viridiplantae; Streptophyta; Magnoliopsida; Brassicales; Brassicaceae
Source: RefSeq, a predicted model, not a curated record